This 494-nucleotide ribosomal RNA is filed under the name uncultured bacterium. RNAcentral's name for it is "partial 16S ribosomal RNA". It matches the Rfam family "Bacterial small subunit ribosomal RNA", at positions 29 to 507 of the family's 1533-position model. The record is from RNAcentral.
ACGAACGCUGGCGGCGUGCCUCAUACAUGCAAGUAGAACGCUGAAGGAGGAGCUUGCUUCUCCGGAUGAGUUGCGAACGGGUGAGUAACGCGUAGGUAACCUGCCUGGUAGCGGGGGAUAACUAUUGGAAACGAUAGCUAAUACCGCAUAACAGUAGAUAUCGCAUGAUAUCUGCUUGAAAGGUGCAAUUGCAUCACUACCAGAUGGACCUGCGUUGUAUUAGCUAGUUGGUGAGGUAACGGCUCACCAAGGCGACGAUACAUAGCCGACCUGAGAGGGUGAUCGGCCACACUGGGACUGAGACACGGCCCAGACUCCUACGGGAGGCAGCAGUAGGGAAUCUUCGGCAAUGGACGGAAGUCUGACCGAGCAACGCCGCGUGAGUGAAGAAGGUUUUCGGAUCGUAAAGCUCUGUUGUAAGAGAAGAACGAGUGUGAGAGUGGAAAGUUCACACUGUGACGGUAUCUUACCAGAAAGGGACGGCUAACUACGUG